UGCUUGCUCCGUGGUGUGGUGUUGAGGAUAAAAAGAAUUACAAACUUAAUCCCUAAUCUCAAGGAUUCUCCAUUCUCAUGGGAGAGACAUAUGUACAACCAGUUAUCUGUUCCUGCUUAAGAAUGCCACAUGAUGAAAUUCACCAGAGAUGUUUGCCAGCAAAUAUAUUGACCCAUUAUAGAGCAUCCAGUGGGAUCCUUCCUUAUUGCCAUGGCACACAGAGAGAGCCCCAGUAUCACCGUGUAACAGAAUGUCCCCAGGAUGGCUUUGUGACUCGAUUAAUUCUUGGCAUGCUGGCCAGCCAUCUCAGAAAAGAGCAGUGACAAUACUCUCUAACUUGAGGG
Long non-coding RNA from Gracilinanus agilis (Agile Gracile Mouse Opossum), 344 nucleotides. RefSeq lists it as uncharacterized. Lineage: Eukaryota; Metazoa; Chordata; Mammalia; Didelphimorphia; Didelphidae. The record is from RefSeq and is a predicted model, not a curated record. The transcript has 3 exons.